AUUGAACGCUGGCGGCAUGCUUUACACAUGCAAGUCGAACGGUAACAGGCCGCAAGGUGCUGACGAGUGGCGAACGGGUGAGUAAUGCAUCGGAACGUGCCCAGUCGUGGGGGAUAACUACUCGAAAGAGUAGCUAAUACCGCAUACGAUCUAUGGAUGAAAGCGGGGGACCGUAAGGCCUCGCGCGAUUGGAGCGGCCGAUGUCAGAUUAGGUAGUUGGUGGGGUAAAGGCUCACCAAGCCAACGAUCUGUAGCUGGUCUGAGAGGACGACCGGCCACACUGGGACUGAGACACGGACCAGACUCCUACGGGAGGCAGCAGUGGGGAAUGUUGGACAAUGGGCGCAAGCCUGAUCCAGCAAUGCCGCGUGCAGGACGAAGGCCUUCGGGUUGUAAACUGCUUUUGUACGGAACGAAACGGCUCUGGUUAAUACCCGGGGUUAAUGACGGUACCGUAAGAAUAAGCACCGGCUAACUACGUG
RNAcentral lists this ribosomal RNA (482 nucleotides) under uncultured bacterium. RNAcentral's name for it is "partial 16S ribosomal RNA". It matches the Rfam family "Bacterial small subunit ribosomal RNA", at positions 30 to 507 of the family's 1533-position model. The record is from RNAcentral.